UACGGGGGGAGCAAGCGUUGUUCGGAUUUACUGGGCGUAAAGGGCGCGUAGGCGGCCACUGCAAGUCGGUUGUGAAAUCUCCGGGCUUAACCCGGAAAGGUCAAUCGAUACUGCAGGGCUAGAGUGCGGAAGGGGCAACUGGAAUUCUCGGUGUAGCGGUGAAAUGCGUAGAUAUUGAGAGGAACACCUGCGGCGAAGGCGGGUUGCUGGGCCGACACUGACGCUGACAGCGCGAAAGCUAGGGGAGCGAACGGG
RNAcentral lists this ribosomal RNA (255 nucleotides) under uncultured bacterium. Its description in RNAcentral is "partial 16S ribosomal RNA". It matches the Rfam family "Bacterial small subunit ribosomal RNA", at positions 524 to 776 of the family's 1533-position model. The record is from RNAcentral.